UGUAGACAUAUAUAGAUGUAUACAUAUAUAGAUAGAUAGGUCUAUAUAGAAAACCAUCUAUCUAUAUCUAGAUAGAGAUAUGUAUUGAUAGAUAUCUCUCCCUGUCUAUCUCUAGAUAGAUUAUCUAAUCUAUCUGUAAAACUAUCUUAAAACCAUACUAAUUUAAAAAUCAAGAUUCAUCUUAAUUUAAAAAUCUUAAUUUAAAAGUUAAGAACCAUCUUUAUUUUGUGGUUCAUAUACACCAUGGAAUGUUAGGCAGCCAUAAAAGAGAGUGAGAUCAAGUCCUUUGCAGGAACAUGGAUGGAGCUGGAUGGAGGUCUUUAUCCUUAACAAACUAAUGCAGGAACAGAAAACCAAAUACUGCAUGUUCUCAUUUACAAAUGGGAGCUAAAUUAUGAGAACACAUGAACACAUAGAGGGAAACAACAGACACUGGGGCCUCUGGGAGGGUGGAUGGUGGGAGGAAGCAGAAGAUCAGGAAAAACAAUUAAUGGGUACUAGGCUUAAUAGCUGGGUGGUGAAAUAAUCUGCACAACAAAUCCCUGUGACACUAGUUUACCUACAUAACAAACCUACGCAUGUGCCAUUGACCUGAAAAUAAAAGUUAAAAAAAUUAUUAAAAAUAUGUCAGUAAAAGUCUUUAACCAACACAAGAUGGUUCAUCCCAAGAGUCAUCUUAAUUUAAAAAUCUUCACAUCUUAAGAAGCUACACGGGAGGCUGCGGCAGGAGAAUGGCUUGAACCCAGCAGGCAGGGGUUGCAGUGAAGCGAGAUGGCAACAUUGUACUCCAGCCCGGGCGACAGUGUGAGUCUCUGUCUCAAAAAAAAAAAAAAAAAAAAAAGCAACUUUGCUGCUUAAAUUGAGUAUAAUACCCAUUUACAUUUAAUGUGGUGAAUGAAAAAUUUGGUUUUCAUUUACCACCCUACAACUGAAUUUUUAAUUCCUCCACAUAUUCUAUUUGCCUUUCUCAACUAUUAUUUUAUAGAUAAAAGGACUUACAGAAAGCAAAUAUAUGAUUCAAUAUUCCAAUAAAAGUGCUUUUUAAAUUUAUAUUGAGCAUUUUAUCCUUCUUUCUUAAAAAUCUUAAGCUACACACAUUACAUAGCUAGGCACUGAUAAGAAUCUAGUACUAGAUAACCAUUUCAAAGGCAUGGAUAGAAUGCUUUCCAGGUAUGGAUUGUUUCCAUAACUCCCCUUCCAUACAUUUUAAAGCCAUUGCAUAAAAAAUAAGGAAUUUUGUAGAGAGGAGUGAGUUUAUAUCCUUUAAUAUUUUCUCACUUUAGAAGUGCAGUCUUGGAAUGAUAUAAACUCUGUAAACAGACUAUCAUGCUGCAUUUACAGAGAAUGAUAUCAUGGUGUCUAUUUUUAAGACAAGAAUAAAAAUUAUGUUUUUUUCUAAUAAUAGAAAUGGAUAAGCAGAAUUCUGGCUUCUAAUAAUGAGAACAUACUAUCCCCUAGUUUGAAAUAAGUUAGAUAAUUUAACUUUCUCAUGUUAUCUUGAAGUUAAUACAUCAUUUGUAUUGAAUGUAUCAGUGCACUACAUGAAGUCUUACAUUGGGUACCAUCCCUUUUAUCUUCCACAUAAAGUGAUUUAGUGUUUUAAUACACUUCUUUCCAUAUCUUGCAGUUUUGCAUAGCAAAAGAAGCAUGCACUUUGAGGAAAAUGCACCUUUUAAUUUUCUGUAUUUUAAAUAUUAUGGGUACAAAAUAUUUGUAUAUAAUUAUGGAGUACAUGUGAUGUUUCAAUACCUCCUUUUUGAUCCCAGAUCUUUCCUGAAUUUUUUGUCCAAUUUGUAUUGCGUUAUUUAUGUUUGAAAAGGAGUAAUGAUGUUUAGUAUAUACUGUUAUAAAAUAACUGAUUCAAAGGAUGUAAAGUAUCUGAUACUAACUAUGUCCAAAUAUGAUUUUUAAGCAAAUGUUCCUAACAAUACAUAAAUAAUAACAUGGAAUAAAAUAAAUUCAUGUAGCUUUAUGAUAAUAAUUUUACCUAAAUUAAAAAGUGUUAUGUGCAAAUAGAUGGUAUACGACACUUGGCAUGUAAUAAUGCAAUUAAGUCCAAUUGAAUAUAUUGUUUGAUUUAUUUCCACAAUCUUUGAUACAUGUAUUGUAGAUCCAAACAUCAAAAACCAUAAGUAGCCUGUAUAAUGCUUUUUUUAUUCUCUGUAAAGUUUUUAAUAUAAAUAUAUAAAAGAGCAUCUUAAAUUAUUUAAGUCAAUUAUUUUAUAUGUGGAUUUGGUAUUAGAACAUAUAUCUUCUUUAGCACAAUAAACUUUUUUAAGUGUCAGAAAUUAUAUAAUUAUAUAGUGACUUUUGUUCACAAGGUAGUUAGUUGUACGUACCUACAAGAUACUUGAAAAAUAUUUUUGUCAAGAUUGGAUGCAUUUUUCUCUUAUAGACUCUUAAAAAUGUUAACAAGCCAACACGUGAACGUACUGAAGUAUUUUUUAAUCAUCUUUUCUAGUGUUGAUAAUGAGUUGGCUGAUAUAAAGUCAUUAGAGUGGCAAUUCAACAAAUAUUUUCUAUGGCAUAACAAAUGUCAUUAACUUGCUAGUCUGUCACGAUGUUGCAAAGCUAAAGUCACAUUCAUUAGUGUUUUUUGUUGUUGUUGCUGUAGUGGUGGUUUGUUUUGUUACAUGAAGUGGCCCACUUCUUGUAUUAAAUUAUUUAUUCUUUCUGAAAAUGUUCAAUCAGAAUGUAAUAACACCUUUAAAAAUGAUUUAAAAAUGUAUUCCCAUAGGUGGGAAUUGAGCAAUGAGAACACUUGGACACAGGGUGGGGAAAAUCACACCCCAGGGCCUGUCGGGGGUGGGGGCAGGGGGAGGGAUAGCAUUAGGAGAAAUACCUAAUGUAAAUGAUGAGUUAAUGGGUGCAGCAAACCAACAUGGCACGUGUAUACCAAUGUAACAAAACUGCAUGUUGUGCACAUGUAUCCUAGAACUUAAAGCAUAAUAAAAAAUAUAUAUAUUUAUUUCUACUGAACACAAUGUCUAUAUAUUAGAUGACCUAGAACUGGUAGGGGGUUCUAAUCCAGGGGAUUGUUGAUAAACUCAGACAACUUCUGUAUUUUUACAUUGUUACUCUUAAAGUCUUGUCAUUGAUUGUCUCAAUAUUGGAAAAUAACAUGUCAAUAUUCAGUGUAAUAAACUGGAAGAAAAAAUGGGCCAAUAUCCCAUUCAAUUAAAGACAUGAAAAAGAGUGUGUAUGUAUUACUUCUGCUCACAUCUUAAUGUUCAACAUGUCGUCACCAAGCCAGAUAGAACCAUAUACUGGGGAAUGUAAUGUUUAUCUGAGAAACCAAAUGCCUAAAUACAAAUUUUAGUAGUACGAAGUAAGAGGAAAUAAAUAUGGGGGAUUUUCUAGUCUUCUCUAUUAUAUAUAAAUUGCAAGAUUUGGCUACUUUAAAAAAUAUUAACAUUUACUAAUUUUUCAUCAAUUCAAAUACCAUAUUGUAGAGUGCAAUUUAACCAAAUUAGAUAACAGUCCCAAAUAUAACAUUUAACUGUACAUCUUCCAGAAGCCAAAAAAUGAGAAAUUAUUUGUGGCUUUUGGCUAGACAAAGAUUUCUUAGAUGUGGCCCAAAAGAACAACCUAGAGAACAAACAAAAAAACCAGUUACAACAACAAUAGAUAUGACUUCAUAAAAACAAAAAAUUCUGUAUUUCUACCCUAUAUGCCUCAAACUAGGAAUAGACAUUUCCAAAUUAUAUCUGAUAAAGAAUGUGUAUCCAAAAUAUGUAAACUCAAUUAUAAGGAAAAUUACAGACCAAUAAUAAACAAUAAGGAAAAGAAUAUACUUGAACACAUACUUUGCCAGAGGAAAUUCAGAGACAGCAAAUAAUCACAUCA
Molecule: long non-coding RNA, 3846 nt
Filed under: Homo sapiens (human)
Lineage: Eukaryota; Metazoa; Chordata; Mammalia; Primates; Hominidae
Description: non-protein coding NUTM2B-AS1:53
Source: RNAcentral